GGAAUAUUGGUCAAUGGGCGAAAGCCUGAACCAGCAACGCCGCGUGCGCGAUGAAGGCCUUCGGGUCGUAAAGCGCUUUUGGGUGGGAUGAAAAUGACAGUACCUCCCGAAUAAGGAUCGGCUAACUACGUGCCAGCAGCCGCGGUAAGACGUAGGAUCCAAGCGUUAUCCGGAAUUACUGGGCGUAAAGGGCGUGUAGGAGGUUGGGCAAGUCGGCCAUGAAAGCUCCCGGCUCAACUGGGAGAGGCUGGUCGAUACUGCCUGGCUAGAGGGCAAGAGAGGGAGGUGGAAUUCCCGGUGUAGUGGUGAAAUGCGUAGAUAUCGGGAGGAACACCAGUGGCGAAGGCGGCCUCCUGGCUUGUACCUGACUCUGAAACGCGAAAGCAUGGGUAGCAAACAGGAUUAGAAACCCUGGUAGUCCAUGCCAUAAACGAUGUCAACUGGGUGUCGGCGAAGUAAAAUUUGUCGGUGCCGAAGCUAACGCGUUAAGUUGACCGCCUGAGGACUACGAUCGCAAGAUUAAAACUCAAAUGAAUUGACGG
This 542-nucleotide ribosomal RNA is filed under the name uncultured bacterium. RNAcentral describes it as "bacterial SSU rRNA". It matches the Rfam family "Bacterial small subunit ribosomal RNA", at positions 358 to 916 of the family's 1533-position model. The record is from RNAcentral.